UAUUCCCCACUGCUGCCUCCCGUAGGAGUCUGGGCCGUAUCUCAGUCCCAAUGUGGCCGUUCAACCUCUCAGUCCGGCUACUGAUCGCAGUCUUGGUAGGCCGUUACCCUACCAACUAACUAAUCAGAUAUGAGCCCAUCUUUCAGCGGAUUGCUCCUUUGGUACUUCGGAGAUGCCCCCAACGUACAUUAUGCGGUAUUAGCAGUCGUUUCCAACUGUUGUCCCCCUCUGAAAGGCAGGUUAUCCACACGUUACUCACCCGUCCGCCACUAAGCUGCCACAAGAUUCUUUUGAUGCAAGCAUCUCCAUCAUCAGCGUGACUGCUCCGUUCGACUUGCAUGUGUUAGGCACGCCGCCAGCGUUCAUCCUGAGCCAA
Molecule: ribosomal RNA, 376 nt
Filed under: uncultured rumen bacterium
Lineage: Bacteria
Description: partial 16S ribosomal RNA
Source: RNAcentral